UGUACAAGUGUAAAAAAAGAAAAAGCUCCAGUGAUUUGGAAAGCAAGGUCUACUUAACCGACACAAACAUGGAGUCUGUCAUCUAUGAGAAUUGUGCUCCAGUCUCCAAAUUGGAGGAGUCUGGCUACGAAAACGUCAAUCCAUCCUCCACCUACGAGACCCUCAAUCC
Scomber scombrus (Atlantic mackerel) is the source of this 169-nucleotide long non-coding RNA. RefSeq lists it as uncharacterized. The record is from RefSeq and is a predicted model, not a curated record. NCBI's taxonomy places the organism in Eukaryota, Metazoa, Chordata, Actinopteri, Scombriformes, Scombridae. The transcript has 3 exons.